RNAcentral lists this long non-coding RNA (2379 nucleotides) under Salvia miltiorrhiza (redroot sage). Its description in RNAcentral is "long non-coding RNA (SMIL_LNC004958)". The record is from RNAcentral. Lineage: Eukaryota; Viridiplantae; Streptophyta; Magnoliopsida; Lamiales; Lamiaceae.
UCGGUCUUCAUUCUCUGGCUCAUGUCGAUCGUUCUCUCUCACGACCUCAAUUUGAACUCGCUGUCGUUGAAGCAAAUUCUUACCCUCUUGUGUUACGGCUGUCGGUCAAUCUCGACACCGCCAUUGGCCAACGUCACCGUCGCCGCCCCUUGCUCGUAGCCCUAAUCCCUAACUCUCUCUCACACUCGUAACUUCUCUGCCCUACCCCCUCGACGUCGCCGUUUAAGCUCACCGCCGUUGGACCAGUGCUCGCCGAUCAUUGUUGUAGGUAAUAGAUUUUGAUUUUGUUAUGUCUCGAUCUCUCUUUUUCUCUCAUUAUCUCUCGCAUAGUGGGAGCAGUGCCCUCACCCGGCUUUGUGCCGCCGCCACCGUGCCCCACCGUCGCUUCCGCCUCUGUGCCCUGCUAACUGUCGUCACGUUCUUAUAAGGUGAGUUCGCUCGCUGCCUUUUAUGUUUAAAGUCAUGUCUCCUUUAUCAUUGGAUAUAUGCCUGCAAACUGUUUGAUGAUUUGGUUGAAAGAAUAAUCUAUUACUUCAAUAAAUGGCUACAAAUAGUGUAUCCGGUUUUUUUAGGAGAAAUCCCCAUUAGUUAGUAUAUUAAGAAUUAAAGAAAACUAAUUAAUGUAGAAACAAUAUAUAACAAAAAUUGCUUUGAUUUCGAUCUUAUUAGUUUCUUUAGUUUGAUUCAAAUUCCAUAAAAUUAUUUAUAUACAUAACUGAUAUUAUGACUAAAUGAGUCAUGUGAUAUACCAUUAAGUUUACUUAUUCUUCCCAGGUUGAAAUCUAAUAGUAGUUGUUCCAUAAAAUAAUUAGACCAAAGAAAAGAAUUAAUGAUUGGUUAGCCAUAAAGAAUGCACGAUUUGUUAUAUGCUAUCUGUUUUGAUGUUGAAAAGCAUAAGGCAAUACAUUUUUUUGUGGGUUAUUAUUGACAUCUUGUCAACUAGGAAAAUAAAAGAAUUUAAAAUGCAGUUGUUGCUCUCUCAUAAUUUGUGCCUGUUAGUGUUGAUAGUGUUUCAUAACAGUUGUUACGCUUUCAUUAAUUUUUGCUUCCAUUAGUGUUGUAGUAUACUUUGACUACAAUUUCACAUAUUGCUAGUAGUCAUUCUAGAUUAUUAGUGCUAAUUAAUCAAAAUAAUAGUCUUCACCCGUGAAACCAAUAUGUCAAUCCUUCCCAUGAGUUAUCUAUUCCCUUUUUUUAAGUUGUUGGAUUAUCCUCCAUGAGGUAUCAUUAUUUUUUUUAUAUAUAUUAAGUCUACCUGCAGCUAGUCAGUUGAUAGUAGACUGCUUUUGAGUGGAAGAAAAGACUCAACUCUUAAGGUAAUUGUCCCUUUCGAUAAUUGAAUGUGCCUGUAAUAAAUUUUAUUUUGUAAGAGAAUGUGGUCGUGCUGAGUUGCAAGAUAAUGUAUGUUCAGUCUAUUGGUAUAGAAUGAUUGCAUAAAGGUAUGUAUACUAGAAGAUAUGGCGUGUGUUUUCAUGUCUACUUCGAUUUUAUUUGUGUAAAAUAGUUCCUUAUUAAGGGAUUGAUGCGCCAAUGCUUGGGUUCUUUUGCAUUUGAUCAUUCUAUUUUUCUUGAUUCAGCUGCAGUUUGAUGCGUAUAUACAUGGCAACCUUUUCUUAGUCAGUUAUGAAUUUCUCAGGUUCUUCCUUCAUUUUUCUUGUUGUACAGACAUGCAAAAAUAUGUUAUGUUUUGUUUAACCUUGAUAUAACUUUGCAUUUGGUUCUAUACUACCUAUUUCAGAUGGUUGAUAAUUAUUUAUUUAUUAAAUAUAGGUUGAUAAUUAUUCUCCUCUAAACUUGUAUUCUUAUGAUUUAAAGUUUUUAGUGAUUCAAUUGUGGUUAUUCUCACCACUCGCAUACAAGUUUGGCCAACAAUGGUGAGGAUAUGUUAUAAAAAAUAUAAGUUAUUUUGCAGGAUAUAAAGAAUGUUAUAUAUAUUUGUUAACACGUAAUAUGUUUCAAGUGGAUCACAAUGACUAUUUUAAAGACUCUUUCUAGUUACGUAUGAACCAAAUAGCCACUUGCUAAUAUAAUCACAAACUGGAAAAUGGAAAUUGAACUAAAUAGUUGGAAUAUCAAAACAAUGAGUUAGGAGAACUUUUGAAUUUAAUGAGAUUAAAUAUGCUAUUCUUAUUUGCAUGAACUCUUCAUUGCUCUAUGCUAACUUAAAUAUUUUUUGUUUCUUAGGGCCACUCGGAGCUUAUUUCUGUUUGAAGGAGAAAAAAAGCAACAAGUGUAUAUUUUGAAUUAAUGAUAGGAUUCAAUUUGUUUAAUUUGUAAUAGAUAUGUUGCAAUUCAUUGUGGUGAACUUAAAUUGAAACGAAUGUAUUGGAAUUUUUUGAAUUGAUUGUGUUGUAAUGACUAAUGAAUAUGAUUGUGGCA